Molecule: ribosomal RNA, 253 nt
Filed under: uncultured bacterium
Lineage: Bacteria
Description: partial 16S ribosomal RNA
Rfam family: Bacterial small subunit ribosomal RNA
Source: RNAcentral
UACGUAGGGUGCGAGCGUUGUCCGGAAUUAUUGGGCGUAAAGAGCUCGUAGGCGGCUUGUCGCGUCGGAUGUGAAAGCCCGGGGCUUAACUCCGGGUCUGCAUUCGAUACGGGCAGGCUAGAGUUCGGUAGGGGAGAUCGGAAUUCCUGGUGUAGCGGUGAAAUGCGCAGAUAUCAGGAGGAACACCGGUGGCGAAGGCGGAUCUCUGGGCCGAUACUGACGCUGAGGAGCGAAAGCAUGGGGAGCGGACAGG